Molecule: ribosomal RNA, 259 nt
Filed under: uncultured bacterium
Lineage: Bacteria
Description: partial 16S ribosomal RNA
Rfam family: Bacterial small subunit ribosomal RNA
Source: RNAcentral
UACGGAGGGUGCGAGCGUUUGUCCGGAAUCAUUGGGCGUAAAGGGCGCGUAGGUGGCCCCUCAAGCGUGCGGUGAAAGUCAGGGGCUCAACCCCUGAUCGGCCGUGCGAACUGGGGAGCUUGAGCACUGUAGAGGCAGGCGGAAUUCCGGGUGUAGCGGUAGAAUGCGUAGAGAUCCGGAAGAACACCGGUGGCGAAGGCGGCCUGCUGGGCAGUUUUGCUGACACUGAGGCGCGAAAAGCGUGGGGGAGCAAACAGGG